UAGGGAAUCUUCGGCAAUGGACGGAAGUCUGACCGAGCAACGCCGCGUGAGUGAAGAGGGUUUUCGGAUCGUAAAGCUCUGUUGUAAGAGAAGAACGAGUGUGAGAGUGGAAAGUUCACACUGUGACGGUAUCUUACCAGAAAGGGACGGCUAACUACGUGCCAGCAGCCGCGGUAAUACGUAGGUCCCGAGCGUUGUCCGGAUUUAUUGGGCGUUAAGCGAGCGCAGGCGGUUAGAUAAGUCUGAAGUUAAAGGCUGUGGCUUAACCAUAGUACGCUUUGGAAACUGUUUAACUUGAGUGCAGAAGGGGAGAGUGGAAUUCCAUGUGUAGCGGUGAAAUGCGUAGAUAUAUGGAGGAACACCGGUGGCGAAAGCGGCUCUCUGGUCUGUAACUGACGCUGAGGCUCGAAAGCGUGGGGAGCAAACAGGAUUAGAUACCCUGGUAGUCCACGCCGUAACGAUGAGUGCUAGGUGUUGGGUCCUUUCCGGGACUCAGUGCCGCAGCUAACGCAUUAAGCACUCCGCCUGGGGAGUACGACCGCAAGGUUG
RNAcentral lists this ribosomal RNA (549 nucleotides) under uncultured bacterium. RNAcentral describes it as "bacterial SSU rRNA". It matches the Rfam family "Bacterial small subunit ribosomal RNA", at positions 355 to 896 of the family's 1533-position model. The record is from RNAcentral.